Molecule: ribosomal RNA, 253 nt
Filed under: uncultured bacterium
Lineage: Bacteria
Description: partial 16S ribosomal RNA
Rfam family: Bacterial small subunit ribosomal RNA
Source: RNAcentral
UACGGGGGGGGCAAGCGUUGUUCGGAAUUACUGGGCGUAAAGGGCUCGUAGGCGGCCAACUAAGUCGGACGUGAAAUCCCCAGGCUCAACCUGGGAACUGCGUCCGAUACUGGAUGGCUUGAAUCCGGGAGAGGGAUGCAGAAUUCCAGGUGUAGCGGUGAAAUGCGUAGAUAUCAGGAGGAACACCGGUGGCGAAGGCGGCUCUCUGGACGGUGACUGACGCUGAGACGCGAAAGCGUGGGGAGCAAACAGG